AUUUUUUUUUUAUUUGUUUGGUUACUGACGAGUUUUAGGCGCUUGUCUUCUAUGUCUGUGUUUAAGAUUUGCUGGACAAUUCAAAAUUAUUGUUGAAAUAAUGAUUUUCUUUCCAUAAACCAAAGCAUUCAAAACAUUGGAUUUAUUCAAGUGUGUGGAGGAUUGCUUGGGCUUUUGAUAACUUGAGCCUUGACGUAAGAAUGAUUCCCUUUAAAACUGAUCUGUGAUACCCACUGCUUGAUCAUACAUUUCUGGCUUUGAUCCAUAUUGAUGUCCUGGAUACUAUUUGUUUUUUUAGAAAUAAUGUUUCCGUUAGUGCUGAAUGAUUUCUUGGGAGAAUUCUGCAACAUGUAGAUGCAGAAUAACUUAAUUGUGCAAAUAGUACUAUCCACCAUGUUUCAU
Molecule: unclassified non-coding RNA, 402 nt
Filed under: Hevea brasiliensis (rubber tree)
Lineage: Eukaryota; Viridiplantae; Streptophyta; Magnoliopsida; Malpighiales; Euphorbiaceae
Source: RNAcentral